AUUGAACGCUGGCGGUAGGCCUAACACAUGCAAGUCGAACGGUAACAGGAAGCAGCUUGCUGCUUCGCUGACGAGUGGCGGACGGGUGAGUAAUGUCUGGGAAACUGCCUGAUGGAGGGGGAUAACUACUGGAAACGGUAGCUAAUACCGCAUAAUGUCGCAAGACCAAAGAGGGGGACCUUCGGGCCUCUUGCCAUCGGAUGUGCCCAGAUGGGAUUAGCUUGUUGGUGGGGUAACGGCUCACCAAGGCGACGAUCCCUAGCUGGUCUGAGAGGAUGACCAGCGACACGCGAACUGGGACACGGGCCAGACUCCUACGGGAGGCAGCAGUGGGGAAUAUUGCACAAUGGGCGCAAGCCUGAUGCAGCCAUGCCGCGUGUAUGAAGAAGGCCUUCGGGUUGUAAAGUACUUUCAGCGGGGAGGAAGGGAGUAAAGUUAAUACCUUUGCUCAUUGACGUUACCCGCAGAAGAAGCACCGGCUAACUCCGUGCCAGCCGCCGCGGUAA
This 506-nucleotide ribosomal RNA is filed under the name uncultured bacterium. Its description in RNAcentral is "partial 16S ribosomal RNA". It matches the Rfam family "Bacterial small subunit ribosomal RNA", at positions 30 to 523 of the family's 1533-position model. The record is from RNAcentral.